Non-coding RNA from Vicugna pacos (alpaca), 3631 nucleotides. NCBI's taxonomy places the organism in Eukaryota, Metazoa, Chordata, Mammalia, Artiodactyla, Camelidae. The record is from RefSeq and is a predicted model, not a curated record.
GUCCCAGAGGAGAGGCGGUUCCUGCGGCGUCAGGGCGGGACUUCCGGCCCAUCCGCAUUAGACCAUCCUUCCGCGAGCAGAUGCUGGUUGGACCGCGACCACGUGAAGUGGAGCGCUGCGCCGGGGCCGCGCCUCCCGGGCGGGCGGGGAGGGAGAGCGACGUGGCCGGGGGCACCUCUGCGCCGUGUCCGAGCCGUGACGCCCCAGCCCUGGCUCCUUCUCCGGGACGCUCCGUGACACGGUGUCCCCGACCGUGGGACAGGCGUCCUCGCGCCUCGUGUUUGCCGGGUGCCACCGGGACCGCAAGUUCUCCGGGGCCUCCUCACCCGCGCUUCGUGGCCAGGGCCCGCGAAGGCGGUGGCCUGGGCCUUGAGAGCAUUUGACGUCAUUUUGCAGCGAGGUUCGGAGUGCGACACCCAGCCUGAGGUGACCCCGCCCUGGCCUCCCGCCUCUCAGGGCCCCACUCAGCCCCCUGGGUCCCGUGGCGGUGGCAGGUGCGGCAGCACUGAUGAAUCCGGCGCAGGGCUGUGUGACCUUCGAAGAUGUGUUCGUGUACUUCUCCCGGGAGGAGUGGGAGCUCCUUGAGGAGGCUCAGAGACUCCUGUACCGCGAUGUGAUGCUGGAGAACUUUGCACUUGUGUCCUCACUGGGACUUGCGGUUUCCAGGUCCCACAGGGUCACCCAGAUGGAGGCAGAGGGGAGCCCCGGGUGCCUGAGAAGGUAGACACGGCUCCCGGCACCACGGAGAAGGCCUGGAGGGAGCCCGGCCCGAUUGUUGGCACGGAAUGGAGGAUGUGACCACACCUUCUGAGCGGGGUGUUUCUGGGCGACCGUCACAGAUGAGAAGGCCCAGGGCAGAUUCUCAUGCGCGGAAGUCUCACCCCUAGGACAGGGGUGGCCCAGUCUUGAAAGACAUGUUUGCCCCUGCUUGAGCCCCGGGGAACCCCAUCUGGGCAGCGUCCGGGAUCCAACAUGCGAGGCCUGUCCAAGAGACUUGUGUGGUUCUACCCCGCCAGAUGCAGAAGCGCACGGCCCGCUACGUCUCAGCUGCCCUUGGCGGCGGGAACGUCGCUCCGGGAUCAGCUGGCUCGCAGCCAGACCCCCGGCUGGGGCACAGCUGGGAACAGCGAGGACCAUUAGAAAUACAGGAAGAGUGCGUGGGCCCGGGACGGCUUCCCGCCCGGAUCGUCUCCUCAGGAAGGUGAGCUCUGAGCACAGUGGGCGGGGACAGAGGUAGCCUGCCCUCAGGAAGUUUCCUCCAAGUCUCCGGGAGGUGCUUUUCAUGAACGGGACUCACGCGGACCGGAUCCGGCGUCCCCGACGUAGGCAGGGAGGGCUCGCUGCAGGUGGGAGAAACGCGGGAAAGGCUUUAACAAGCGUGGGCGUGUUGUCGGACAUCAGGUCACGCUGAAGGGACUGCCGUGAACGUGAGAACGCCUUUCUCUCUCUUCAAAAAAUUCUUUUAAGUAUUUUUUUAGGGGGGGAGAUACUAGGCUUAUUUAUUUAUAUUUGGAGGAGGUGCUGGGGAGUGAACCCAGUGCACGCUGAGCAUGCGCUCUGCCACUUCAGCUAUAACCUCCCCGUAUUUAUUUAUUUUUAAUGGAGGGACUGGGGUUUGAACCCAGGACCACAUGCAUGCUAAACUAAGCAUGUGCUCUACCGCUGAGUUAUACUCUCCCUCCUGAGAAAGCCUUUUUUCAAGAGAGCAGAUCUCAGUCAACACGUGAGGACUGAUGCUCAGCAAAGCCACGUGAGUUCUUCUGCUGUGGCAAGGCCUUUAGCUGUGGGUCAGGCCUCAUGCGGCAGCAGCAGAUUAACACUGGGGAGAAGGCUCUUGAGUGCAAAGAAUGUGGGAAAGUCUCGUGUCAGCUCUGCUUUUGUCCAAUAUUUCCCACUCCAGAGGCACUCACUUCAAGGGUAAGUGUUUUUUGACAGCUGUAUAUUUACUCAUCACGUGAGGGUUCUCACAGGAGAGAAUCCCUGAGGGCAGUGACUGUGGAAAGGCUUUCAUUCACCCCAUUUCUGUGUGGCCUAAGAGGAGCCACUGGAGAAAAAGCCUUUGAAUUUUAGAAUGUCGGAGGGCCUUUUGUGACAGUUCCUUGGUAACUCAACACGGAAAGCAUCGCUCUAGGAAGAAACCUCGUGAAUACAGUGACUGUGGACAGUCCUUCAGCCUCCAUUCACCCCUCACCCAGCCUUGAAGCAUUCAUACUGGGGAGAAACCCGACGAGUGUACGAGAUGGGGAAAGCCUUUUACAAGUGGACUAACCUCAGUCAACAGCAGAGAACUCAUACUGGGGAGAGACCUUUUGAAUGUAACUCCUAAGGAAAAUCUCCUGAGCAGCAGAAACAUCGUAUUCGGCAUCUGGGAAGUUAUACCAAAGAGAAACCCUGUGAGUGUCACUGCUGUAAGAAAAUCUUUUGAGACAAAUCACUUGUCAGCUCAAGAGUCAUAUUGGAAGUGGAUGUAUCCUAGGACUUGGCAUCCUAGGAGAACUGAUAAAGGAAAGAGAACCAGGGGCUAUUGCGCAGUUUCAAAAAUCUUUAGCUACAGCUCUGCCCCUUAGUAUACACUGAAAAAGCAGCCGCGGGGAUUUUAAAAAGCAAAAUCAAAGGAGCAAGAAGAAAAGUGGAUGUAACAGGAAAGGAAGUGGAUUUGUGGCUUCUUUCGGGGUUUCCCAGACACAUUCAAGACGAUUUAUUGGUGGUUUUUUGUUGAUGUUGUUGGCUGGCAGGGGAGGAGUGACGUUUGAGAGGUAAACACCUGAAUUAAUAUAUCCUCUCCCCCGGGCCGUGUCAGGAAAGCUGGACACUUCAGAGCAGCUCUGCAAAUAUUUUUUGAAACCCUUCUUGGUUAUGAAAUAUCUCAACCAUUCAUUGAUUUAUGAAGCACUUAAAAGAAAUGAGGAUACUAAAAAUAUUGUCUAAAAUAUAUCUAAGGAGAUAAGGGCACCCUUAUGAAUGGGUACAUUUUAUUGUACUGCUUAAACCAUUCAAGGCUUCAUUUUUAUUCAUUCAUUCUUCAUCAUUAAGGUGUAACUGACAUAACUGUAAGUUUCAGGUGCACAACAUAUUUAAUUAAUACAUUUAUAUUACAGGAUGGUUGCCAUUGUAGCAUGAACCUUUGUUGUGCUGCAGAAUUAUCCCUUCUAGUGGUGGGAACAGUUAAGAUCUAGUCUGUCGGCAGGUUUAAAGUUUGCAAUGCAGUAUCAUUGUUUGUAAUCCCUGUACUUUGUAUUAGAACUCCGGGAAUUAUUUACCUACUAGUUGUAAGUACGUACCCUUAAACCACAUCUCUCCCAUCCCCUCACUCCACCACCAGCCUUUGGUAACCAUCAUUCCAUUCCAUUUUCUCCAGUUCAGUUUUUUGUUUUGUUUUGUGUGAGAUUCCACAUAUAAGGGAUAUUAUACAGUGUUUGUCAUUCUCUGUCUGACUUACCUCACUUAGCAUAAUGUCCUCUAAGUCCGUCCAUGUUGUCGUAAAUGUCUGGGUUUCCUUUUUCCCUAAGGCUGAGUAGUAUUCCAUUGUAUGCAUAUAUAUAUUUUUUUCUGUGUUCAUCCAUUAAUGGACACUUAGAUUGUUUCCGUACCUUGACUGUUGUGAACUACAAUAAACACGGAAGUGCACAUA